This 766-nucleotide ribosomal RNA is filed under the name Harringtonia lauricola. RNAcentral describes it as "Raffaelea lauricola partial large subunit ribosomal RNA". It matches the Rfam family "Eukaryotic large subunit ribosomal RNA", at positions 104 to 894 of the family's 3401-position model. Lineage: Eukaryota; Fungi; Ascomycota; Sordariomycetes; Ophiostomatales; Ophiostomataceae. The record is from RNAcentral.
CAGCUCAAAUUUGAAAUCUGGCCCCCCGCGGGCCCGAGUUGUACUUUGGAGAGGACGCUUCUGGCGCGGCGCCGUCCGAGUUCCCUGGAACGGGACGCCGGAGAGGGUGAGAGCCCCGUACGGGCGGCCGCCUAGCCUCUGCGAAGCUCCUUCGACGAGUCGAGUAGUUUGGGAAUGCUGCUCAAAAUGGGAGGUAAAUUUCUUCUAAAGCUAAAUACCGGCCAGAGACCGAUAGCGCACAAGUAGAGUGAUCGAAAGAUGAAAAGCACUUUGAAAAGAGGGUCAAACAGUACGUGAAAUUGUUGAAAGGGAAGCGCCUGUGGCCAGACUUGCGCCCCGCGGACCACCCGGCGCCUCGCGCGCCGGGGCACGCCAGCGGGGCGCAGGCCAGCAUCGGCUCUCUCGGGGGGACAAAGGCCGCGGGAACGUAGCGCCCUCGCGGCGUAUUAUAGCCCGCGGCGCCAUGCCCCCGGGGGGGCCGAGGACCGCGCUCCGGCAAGGAUGCUGGCGUAAUGGCCACCGGCGACCCGUCUUGAAACACGGACCAAGGAGUCAAGCAUUGGGGCGAGUGUCUGGGUGGCAAGCCCGCACGCGGAAUGAAAGUGAACGCAGGUGGGAGCUUCGGCGCACCACCGACCGAUCCUGAUGUCCUCGGAUGGAUUUGAGUAGGAGCCCCGCCGCUUGGACCCGAAAGAUGGUGAACUAUGCCUGUAUAGGGUGAAGCCAGAGGAAACUCUGGUGGAGGCCCGCAGCGGUUCUGACGUGC